UGCAACGUCAUGCUGCAACGUCGUUCUGC
Molecule: small RNA, 29 nt
Filed under: Bombyx mori (domestic silkworm)
Lineage: Eukaryota; Metazoa; Arthropoda; Insecta; Lepidoptera; Bombycidae
Description: ovarian small RNA-33333
Source: RNAcentral